CCUACGGGAGGCAGCAGUGGGGAAUAUUGGGCAAUGGGCGCAAGCCUGACCCAGCAACGCCGCGUGAAGGAAGAAGGCUUUCGGGUUGUAAACUUCUUUUAUUGAGGACGAAACAAAUGACGGUACUCAAUAAAUAAGCACCGCCUAACUACGUGCCAGCAGCCGCGGUAAUAGGUAGGUGGCAAGCGUUAUCCGGAUUUACUGGUUGUAAAGGGCGUGUAGGCGGGAGUGCAAGUCAGAUGUGAAACCCAUGGGCUCAACCCAUGACCUGCAUUUGAAACUGUUGUUCUUGAGUGAUGGAGAGGGAGGCGGAAUUCCGUGUGUAGCGGUGAAAUGCGUAGAUAUACGGAAGAACACCAGUGGCGAAGGCGGACUGCUGGACAUUAACUGACGCUGAGGCGCGAAAGCGUGGGGAGCAAACAGGAUUAGAUACCCCGGUAGUC
RNAcentral lists this ribosomal RNA (443 nucleotides) under uncultured bacterium. Its description in RNAcentral is "partial 16S ribosomal RNA". It matches the Rfam family "Bacterial small subunit ribosomal RNA", at positions 338 to 795 of the family's 1533-position model. The record is from RNAcentral.